This 72-nucleotide transfer RNA is filed under the name Sus scrofa (pig). It matches the Rfam family "tRNA". Rfam says of the family: Transfer RNA (tRNA) molecules are approximately 80 nucleotides in length. Their secondary structure includes four short double-helical elements and three loops (D, anti-codon, and T loops). The record is from Rfam by way of RNAcentral. Lineage: Eukaryota; Metazoa; Chordata; Mammalia; Artiodactyla; Suidae.
UCCCUGGUGGUAGAGUGGUUAGGAUUUGGGGCUUUCACUCCUGUGGCCCAGGUUCGGUCCCUGGUCUGGGAA